Molecule: unclassified non-coding RNA, 326 nt
Filed under: soil metagenome
Description: partial contains 5.8S ribosomal RNA, internal transcribed spacer 2, and large subunit ribosomal RNA
Rfam family: 5.8S ribosomal RNA (bases 1-120)
Source: RNAcentral
GAUGAAGAACGUAGUGAAAUGCGAUAAGUAAUGUGAAUUGCAGAAUUCAGUGAAUCAUCGAAUCUUUGAACGCACAUUGCGCCCCUUGGUAUUCCGAGGGGCAUGCCUGUUCGAGCGUCAUAUUAACCACUCCCGCUUGCGGGGUCUUGGGCUUCGCCUCCGGGCGGGCCUUAAAAUCAGUGGCGGUGCCGUCGGGCUCUACGCGUAGUAAAUUUUCUCGCGAUAGGGUCCCGGUGGAUGCUUGCCAACAACCCCCAACUUCUUAAGGUUGACCUCGGAUCAGGUAGGAAUACCCGCUGAACUUAAGCAUAUCAAUAAGCGGAGGA